UAGGUCCUACGGGACGCAGCAGUGGGGGAUAUUGCACAAUGGGGGAAACCCUGAUGCAGCGACGCCGCGUGAGUGAAGAAGUAUUUCGGUAUGUAAAGCUCUAUCAGCAGGAAAGAAAAAAGACGGUACCUGACUAAGAAGCCCCGGCUAACUACGUGCCAGCAGCCGCGGUAAUACGUAGGGGGCAAGCGUUAUCCGGAUUUCCUGGGUGUAAAGGGAGCGUAAACGGCAAUACACGUCGGAAGUGAAAUACCCGGGCUCAACCUGGGAACUGCUUUGGAAACUGUAUGGC
This 292-nucleotide ribosomal RNA is filed under the name uncultured bacterium. RNAcentral's name for it is "partial 16S ribosomal RNA". It matches the Rfam family "Bacterial small subunit ribosomal RNA", at positions 333 to 641 of the family's 1533-position model. The record is from RNAcentral.